Molecule: unclassified non-coding RNA, 295 nt
Filed under: Leccinum rotundifoliae
Lineage: Eukaryota; Fungi; Basidiomycota; Agaricomycetes; Boletales; Boletaceae
Description: partial internal transcribed spacer 2
Source: RNAcentral
UAUCAUCAACUCAUUAGUCUUUGAUUAGGCUUUUGGGCUUGGACUUGGGAAUUGCUGGCUUGAUCUUUACUCAUUGAAAAGUAUCUAAUACUUAAUAGAGGGUAGAGUGUAGUCGGCUGUCCUUAAAUGCAUUAGCGAGUGUUAGUCUACAUGGCACGGCCUCUUGACGUGAUAAUGAUCGUCGUGGGCUGGAAGUGUAGUGUCUGGCUUCUAAUCAUUGAUUGCGUGCAUACGGCCCAUAAAGCUGGAAGCGCAACAAACCACGACUUACGUGCAAGCGUAGUUCGAAAUUGAC